This 433-nucleotide ribosomal RNA is filed under the name uncultured bacterium. Its description in RNAcentral is "partial 16S ribosomal RNA". It matches the Rfam family "Bacterial small subunit ribosomal RNA", at positions 29 to 507 of the family's 1533-position model. The record is from RNAcentral.
AACGAACGCUGGCGGCAUGCCUAACACAUGCAAGUCGAGCGAGCCCUUCGGGGCGCGUGGCGCACGGGAGUGUAACGCGGGGGAAUGUGCCUCUAUGCGGGGAAUACCUCCCCGACUGGGGUGCUUAUACUAGAUAAUGUCUUCGGACCAAAGAUUUAUCGCAUUAGGAUGGGCCCGCGUUGGAUUAGCUAGUUGGUAGGGUAAAAGCCUACCAAGGCGACGAUCCAUAGCUGGUCUGAGAGGAUGAUCAGCCACACUGGGACUGAGACACGGCCCAGACUCCUACGGGAGGCAGCAGUGGGGAAUAUUGGACAAUGGGGGAAAGCCUGAUCUAGCCAUGCCGCGUGAGUGAUGAAGGCCUUAGGGUUGUAAAGCUCUUUUACCUGGGAAGAUAAUGACGGUACCGGGAGAAUAAGCCCCGGCUAACUCCGUG